RNAcentral lists this ribosomal RNA (1392 nucleotides) under Staphylococcus sp. RNAcentral describes it as "bacterial SSU rRNA". It matches the Rfam family "Bacterial small subunit ribosomal RNA", at positions 65 to 1437 of the family's 1533-position model. The record is from RNAcentral. Lineage: Bacteria; Bacillati; Bacillota; Bacilli; Caryophanales; Staphylococcaceae.
AGCGAACAGAUGAGAAGCUUGCUUCUCUGAUGUUAGCGGCGGACGGGUGAGUAACACGUGGGUAACCUACCUAUAAGACUGGGAUAACUCCGGGAAACCGGGGCUAAUACCGGAUAAUAUUUUGAACCGCAUGGUUCAAUAGUGAAAGACGGUUUCGGCUGUCACUUAUAGAUGGACCCGCGCCGUAUUAGCUAGUUGGUAAGGUAAUGGCUUACCAAGGCGACGAUACGUAGCCGACCUGAGAGGGUGAUCGGCCACACUGGAACUGAGACACGGUCCAGACUCCUACGGGAGGCAGCAGUAGGGAAUCUUCCGCAAUGGGCGAAAGCCUGACGGAGCAACGCCGCGUGAGUGAUGAAGGUCUUCGGAUCGUAAAACUCUGUUGUUAGGGAAGAACAAAUUUGUUAGUAACUGAACAAGUCUUGACGGUACCUAACCAGAAAGCCACGGCUAACUACGUGCCAGCAGCCGCGGUAAUACGUAGGUGGCAAGCGUUAUCCGGAAUUAUUGGGCGUAAAGCGCGCGUAGGCGGUUUCUUAAGUCUGAUGUGAAAGCCCACGGCUCAACCGUGGAGGGUCAUUGGAAACUGGGAAACUUGAGUGCAGAAGAGGAGAGUGGAAUUCCAUGUGUAGCGGUGAAAUGCGCAGAGAUAUGGAGGAACACCAGUGGCGAAGGCGGCUCUCUGGUCUGUAACUGACGCUGAUGUGCGAAAGCGUGGGGAUCAAACAGGAUUAGAUACCCUGGUAGUCCACGCCGUAAACGAUGAGUGCUAAGUGUUAGGGGGUUUCCGCCCCUUAGUGCUGCAGCUAACGCAUUAAGCACUCCGCCUGGGGAGUACGACCGCAAGGUUGAAACUCAAAGGAAUUGACGGGGACCCGCACAAGCGGUGGAGCAUGUGGUUUAAUUCGAAGCAACGCGAAGAACCUUACCAAAUCUUGACAUCCUUUGACCGCUCUAGAGAUAGAGUCUUCCCCUUCGGGGGACAAAGUGACAGGUGGUGCAUGGUUGUCGUCAGCUCGUGUCGUGAGAUGUUGGGUUAAGUCCCGCAACGAGCGCAACCCUUAAGCUUAGUUGCCAUCAUUAAGUUGGGCACUCUAGGUUGACUGCCGGUGACAAACCGGAGGAAGGUGGGGAUGACGUCAAAUCAUCAUGCCCCUUAUGAUUUGGGCUACACACGUGCUACAAUGGAUAAUACAAAGGGCAGCGAAUCCGCGAGGCCAAGCAAAUCCCAUAAAAUUAUUCUCAGUUCGGAUUGUAGUCUGCAACUCGACUACAUGAAGCUGGAAUCGCUAGUAAUCGUAGAUCAGCAUGCUACGGUGAAUACGUUCCCGGGUCUUGUACACACCGCCCGUCACACCACGAGAGUUUGUAACACCCGAAGCCGGUGGAGUA